RNAcentral lists this small nuclear RNA (264 nucleotides) under Nannospalax galili (Upper Galilee mountains blind mole rat). Its description in RNAcentral is "7SK RNA (ENSNGAG00000005400.1)". It matches the Rfam family "7SK RNA", at positions 1 to 280 of the family's 331-position model. From Rfam's summary of the family: 7SK was discovered as an abundant small nuclear RNA in the mid-70s but a possible function has only recently been suggested. Two independent studies have found that 7SK RNA binds the CDK9/cyclin T complex (known as elongation factor P-TEFb). Lineage: Eukaryota; Metazoa; Chordata; Mammalia; Rodentia; Spalacidae. The record is from RNAcentral.
AGCUGUGAGGGGAACUUACUUAGGGCACCCGCCAUCCCACUGAUUGCCUAGGUCAGCUUGGCUGAUCUGACUAGCCUGGCAGAUGUCCUCUUCCUCCUCCACAUUCUAUGUGCAUGCUUUUUGAAGGGCACUCAGUCAAAGAGGAUGACUUUUCUUGGUAGAGGAGGCCUAUCUUAGCAAGGUUAUACAAGUACCCGUGCCCCCAUGCUAGAGCCUCCAAACCUCUCAAGGUGCAUGCCAAGGAGAACAUACUGCCUCUCCCUG